RNAcentral lists this long non-coding RNA (1690 nucleotides) under Linum usitatissimum (flax). RNAcentral describes it as "long non-coding RNA (LUSI_LNC007216)". Lineage: Eukaryota; Viridiplantae; Streptophyta; Magnoliopsida; Malpighiales; Linaceae. The record is from RNAcentral.
UGAGAAAUCCCCUUUUCAUGUGUAGAAAUAGCAGCUGAAAUUCUCGUAAGCAUCCACUCAGCUGUGAGAUAUAGUAAAUAAUGAAGAUAGAAUAGUAAUCAUAAUCUCAUAAGCAGAGUAUUCAGUAUCAACAAUACCCUCUUCAUGACAGAGAGGAACAAAAUUAAAACAACACAACCAGAUCCAUCCAGAGACAAAAGAAUCAAAAAAAACAAAAGAAAGAAACUGAUGCAAAGUAGUCGCGAACAAAAAGUCUGUCUGUCUGUCUCCCUGAUCUCUCUCUCUCUCUCUCUCUAAAGUAACAGCCACAAGAAAGAUGCACAUCCAAGUCCCAUCAUCCCAACCAUCGUCUUCUCUACUCCACUCUGCAACAAAUUAACCACCCGUCAGCACAUUCGAUAUUACAUUAUUACCAUUACCAGAUGUUGGGCUGUGCCAGCCCAACGGGCUCAUAUUCGGAAUGUUUGUUCAAAGCCCACUGAUGGCAUAUGCAACUUUAUCCAACGUUUCACCACUCAAUUUUUUUUUCUUCUCAAAUUUUCCGCAGAUCUAACAAAAUUUAAUUGUUCUGAUUAGCCCUUUAAUUUAAUAAUAAAAUAAAUAAAGUAGUAACACUCCUUGGAUUCUACGUCUCUUACUCACUGUAUCUCAAAACCUAAAGGAAUUUUUUAAUGUAAAAACGUGACAGCUCUACCUAGUGUGUCACGUGCAGCUUACAGAAAUGAAAAGCCACUUUCCGAUUUUCCUUAGUCCCCUAAACCAUCUGACAUCCACGCGCUGGAUUCAUCUAUUACGACAACACGCGCCGCUUUAGAAUGAGAUCCAAGAUCAGGUCAAACUUAUGAUACAAGAUCUGUUUUACUGUUUGUUCUCUAAUUAGGACCGACCAAACUAAUUAACAUUCACAUUUCCUUACUCUAAUUAGGUCUUUAAUCUCAAUUACUAAUGGUAAAUAGUAAGGAUAAAGAAAACGACGACGUACCAUAUCAGAACCGGUGCCGGCUGGUCCAGGAGCAGAAGCGCCCAAGCUAGGGGAAGGAGCUCCGGUGGGAGGAGCGGGCGGGCUUGAUCCCAGAGGCGAAGGAGCGGAAGCCGGAGACUUCACCUUCUUGGACGGAGCCGGAGCUGGGACCGAAGCAGGUGGAGAUGCCAGGGGAGCUGGUGGCGGGGUUGCCGGAGGAGGAGUGGCUGGCGGUGGGGUUGCCGGAGGAGGAGUUGCAGGUGGUGGAGUGGCGACCGGAGGUGGAGUUGAUGGUGGAGGGGAAGCAGGUGGGGGAGUAGCAGCAACCGGCGGAGGUGUGCUGACUGGAGGAGGAGUUGAUGGAGGUGGGGCGGAGACUGGAGGAGGAGAGGCCGCCGGAGGAGGGGAGGAAGUCGGGGGAGGAGUGGUGCUCACCGGAGGAGCGGCGGUCGGGGUGGUGGGAGUGGGUGGAGCCGGGGUGGCGGUAGGAGAAGCAGCCGGAGAUUGAGCGCCGACGCCGGCGAUGACAAUGCAGAUGAGAGAGAGGACGACCAAAGCUGAUGGACUCUUCAUCUUGCGCCGAUCUAGUUUCCUCUCUCUUCUUUCUUUUCUUCUCGUAAAACUACAAACAGAGAAAGAUAGAGAGAGAGAGAGAGAGAGAGAGAGGAGUGAGGGGGGAAAGAGAGUGAGAAAUCAAACGGGAAUAAAUAGUGGUGGAUAAAUUAAGAA